This is a long non-coding RNA of Biomphalaria glabrata, 1153 nucleotides long. RefSeq lists it as uncharacterized. The transcript has 3 exons. The record is from RefSeq and is a predicted model, not a curated record. NCBI's taxonomy places the organism in Eukaryota, Metazoa, Mollusca, Gastropoda, Planorbidae.
AAUUCAUCUAAUUCUCUUUGUAAAAUAUCUGUGUCUUGUGUUGUUUUUAUUGUUCUAUAUAUUAUGCAAUCGUCUGCAAAUAAUCUGACUUUUGUUCCUGAAGUAAUGCAAUUUGGUAAAUCAUUUAUGUAAAUUAAAAAUAGUAGUGGACCCAAGACUGUUCCUUGAGGUACACCUGAGUUUACUGUUAUCGGUGUUGAUUUAGAGCCAUUUAUUAUUACAGUUUGUUCUCUCCCUAUCAGAAAGUCUUUAAUCCACUGAUGCAGUGGACCAUUAAUGCCGAAAUAUUUUAAUUUUUUAAGCAAACUAUGAUGGUGAACUUUGUCAAAAGCCUUAGAAAAAUCUAGUAAGAUAGCAUUCAAUGUGUGGAAUCAAGUAUUUACCCAGAUACUGCCACAAUAUGCUCUUAUUGUUUUCAAAGGAGUUUUCACACAGUGCCAGAAGCUGUAUAAAUACAUUUAACAAUGUAUAUUUCAAGAAGAAAUGAUGCUUUUUUAUUUCUAAGAGUUUAUCAAUAGGAUGAAUGCCACAAAACUCACUUGUUAUGCCAGAAACUCUUCCUACGAAACUUCCAUACUAGAAUUUGUCCAGUGCCUGUGUUGAAGUAGAAUGUGCUCCAUAAUACCUACUAGGAGCUUGCUGAUAGCUGGAAGUUCAUGAAUACUAUGUUGUCCUUGAUUUGAUGAUUCUGAAAACUACCAUUUCUGAAGACUUGAGCAUUAUUUCUAUAAGAAAGUGAAGAUAAUAUUGUUCUUACUAAUAUUAUUGACUUAUUAAAAUAGAAAGCACAUCAUUACCAAUAUUCACUUGUCAAUAAAUGUUAGCAUUAUUCAAUUUUUAGUUACAUGUUCAAACUAUUAAAUUUUAUUAUUUAAAUUAUAGCAACUUUCUCUUUCAGUCCAGCUUAAGAUACAUUCCUGUAAAAAGUCUAUAAUAAUAAGUUAAUGUCAAUGUAGUAUUGUUCAGACACAAGUUUAAUCAUCUAUACUUCACAAAAAAAAAGUGUUUGAAUGGUUUUCAUUUGUUUGUACAUCAAAUAUGUAUUAAUAUAAUUAUCAUUUUUAGAUGAAACAUUAAAUACUGAAGAUGACCAUUUCAAUUUCUGAUGUAGGCCUAUUCUCAUUUCAUGAAAUAAACAGAAUAUUAUCUGAAA